RNAcentral lists this ribosomal RNA (254 nucleotides) under uncultured bacterium. RNAcentral describes it as "partial 16S ribosomal RNA". It matches the Rfam family "Bacterial small subunit ribosomal RNA", at positions 524 to 776 of the family's 1533-position model. The record is from RNAcentral.
UACGGGGGGAGCAAGCGUUGUUCGGAUUUACUGGGCGUAAAGGGCGCGUAGGCGGUCGUGACAAGUCACUUGUGAAAUCUCCGGGCUUAACUCAGAACGGUCAAGUGAUACUGUCGGACUAGAGUACAGAAGGGGCAACUGGAAUUCUCGGUGUAGCGGUGAAAUGCGUAGAUAUCGAGAGGAACACCUGCGGCGAAGGCGGGUUGCUGGGCUGAUACUGACGCUGAGGCGCGAAAGCCAGGGGAGCGAACGGG